UACGGAGGGUGCAAGCGUUAUCCGGAUUUACUGGGUUUAAAGGGUGCGUAGGCGGAUUUGUAAGUCCGAGGUGAAAUCUCCGAGCUUAACUCGGAAACUGCCUUGGAUACUAUAAGUCUUGAAUGACGUUGAGGUUAGCGGAAUAUGUCAUGUAGCGGUGAAAUGCUUAGAUAUGACAUAGAACAUCUAUUGCGAAGGCAGCUAACUAAGCGUAUAUUGCCGCUGAUGCCCGAAAGCGUGGUGAUCAAACAGU
This 253-nucleotide ribosomal RNA is filed under the name uncultured bacterium. RNAcentral's name for it is "partial 16S ribosomal RNA". It matches the Rfam family "Bacterial small subunit ribosomal RNA", at positions 524 to 776 of the family's 1533-position model. The record is from RNAcentral.